This is a long non-coding RNA of Peromyscus californicus insignis, 15631 nucleotides long. RefSeq lists it as uncharacterized. NCBI's taxonomy places the organism in Eukaryota, Metazoa, Chordata, Mammalia, Rodentia, Cricetidae. The transcript has 2 exons. The record is from RefSeq and is a predicted model, not a curated record.
AAAAAAAAAAAAGAGUUGUGGUCAUGGUGUCUCUUCACAGCAAUAGAAACCCUAAGACACCCCCUCACAUUUUAUGUCACUCUAGUCAUGAGCAAAAGAAAGAGUAAAUGAGACACCAGAAAUGACACCGUCCAAGUUUUCAUGAACGCAACAUUUUACCUGGUUUAAUUUUUUCUAUUAACAUUAGUAGCCACACAGUCCCCUAUUGAGAACUCUCAGACUUCCAUUCCCUAGCACUGGGAAUAAAUCUUUCCUUGUACAAACAGACCUGCCUAAAUGGCAUCAGGGACCAAUGUGCUUGCUGUACUCAGUUUUAAGCCUAGGAGCCAUGAGUCAGAUCUGAAGAAAAAAAAAUUAAAACUAGUCAUGACCUUCAUCCCAAGGUCUUCUAGAAGACAUAUUGUAUUAGUUUUCUAAUAUACUAGGUGGCUUAGAACAGGAAAAAUAUAUUGUUUCACAGAUGUGGAGUCCAAAAGUCUGAAGUCUAAUAUCAAUAUUUCCAAAGGGUCCUGUGAGGUUCUGGUAGUUUCUUGCUUCAUGGCAGCAUAAUUCUAAUUUUCAUAGGAUUUUCUUCCUGUUGGCACAUUUCUGAGUUCAGAUCUCCUCUUUCCUAAAGGCAUCAAUUUUUGUAUUACUGUCCAUCCUAAUAUCUCCUUUAAAGUCUUUCAGAUUGAUUUAUUUUAUGUGAGUAUUUUGCCUACAUGUAUGUCUAUGUACCAUGUGUGUUCACUACUACCUUAUUUUAAUUUAUUUAAAAAUCCCUAGUGUUAGAAAUGAAAUAUCUGUUUGGGGGGGGACACACAAUUCAAUUCACUACACAUAUAAACUUCAAAGUAUCUCAUGCAUAGCUAGAAGUCCAUUUCUGUUCCUUCUCAUGUCAUCAUACUAUAUAACUCAUGUCAUCAUAUAACUCAUGUAUCAUCAUACAAUAUAACUCAUGUCAUCAUACAAUAUAACUCAUGUCAUCAUACAAUAUAACUCAUGUCAUCAUAAAAUAUUGUAGAUGAAAUUCUAAAUGGUCUUAUUAAAUAAGAAACAGAGCCAAAUGCAGAGUUAAAAGCCCAAGAGAUCAGAGCACUAGUGUAGAGCCUUUAGCUUACCACUCCCUGCCGUCCUUCCCCUGAGAAAGAGACCUUCUCCUGUGUGACCUGUCUUUUUAUUGCCUUUCUGUUCUACCUUCUCAUUUGCUCUAAACCCAACCACAUGAUUUCCUUGUCACUGCCUAUCUAUACAGACCUCCAGGUCUCUAUGGUUGGUACUGGGAUUAAAAGUUCGGGUCACUGUUUGGCUGUGUCCUUGACCACACAGAGACUCUCUUUGCCAUGUGAUCGGAUUAAGGGUAUGGGCCACCACCGCCGGACUUCUGCUAAAUGGCUUGCUUUUAGCUCUGAUCCCCAGGCAACUUUAUUUAUUAACAUACAAAUAAAAUCACAUUUCAGCACAAAUAAAAUAUCACCAUACAAUAUAAUUAUGAACCAAGCCCAGCAGAUUUCCACUCACAUGAGGUCUUAAACUGAGGCUACAUAAAAUACCACCUGCACCUACCCUGCCCAAGAACAAUGAACCAAUCAAUGAUGUUGAUGACAUCCCCAGUUCCUGAUACAGCUAAUAAAAUUCAGCACAAUGAAUUCUUUGGGAUGUUGUCUGAAUAUGAGAGUAUUAUUUUCCCUCAGCAUACUGGAAUCUGACCAUAUUCACUUCUUGGAAUAUUCAAAGUGCAUAGUUCCAGUUGGCCUGUGUCUUUGUAAUGGAAAAAAAUGGAAGAGAGAGAGAGAAAGAGAGAGAGAGAGAGAGAGAGAGAGAGAGAGAGAGAGAGAGAGAGAAUGGCUAUGGGAACUUCUGUGGAGGCCCACAGAGGCACCCUAGUGAGACCUUACUCAAGGUCAGAGAGUCUGAGCUUGCUUUACCCAGUAGGGCUGCAUAAUGGGAUGAUUUGGCCAUGAACGUGGUUACCAGGUGUUUUGAAGGAUCUAUAUUUGGCUGUAUGUUGUGCUUUGAUCUUGAAAGGGGGUGGUAUUUUGCCUUGCUCCUUGGCAUUGUAUAAAAAGCCCUUUGGAAUAAACCUCAAGGUGACUGGGUAUUGACCCAGGGCCCUCCUGAAGCUAUCCUGUGUCUCUGUCUUUCUCUCCAUCUUCGUCUAUAUUUCUAUCUAAUAUUUCCUCAUUCCUCUCUCCUCCUAUCAAGGACCCUUUGAAAGGUGGGAGCUGGACUCCCACAUACUUCCUCUUCUCUUCACAGACUGUCUCCAUACUGUGAGUUGGCUGUACUUACAGCUCUUACGCACAAUCAUCAGGGUGGCUCUCAUUCUCCAAUGACCAAAUUCUCCAGGUUUGAUACUUUCCAUUGGUUCUCUGCAGAAAGCAAAUUUAUGUGACUAAAAGCUACUCUGGUCAUUGGUUCAGAAUAUGGACAGUUUUUAAUAUUUUUUUUAUUUUAUGGGUACAAGUAUUAACCAAGAAUAGUCAUUACAAUUGUGUCAUUUCAGCAACAUUUGAGAAAUAACAAUAAUAUUAAAAUGAUAGAAAUUACACAAAGGGUCUCUAGCGCAAAUUUCUAUCUUUUUUAGCUUAAUUACUUUAAUGGAUUCUUUGGGAAUUUCACAUCAUGUGCCCCAAUCCUGCUCAUAUACCAGUCCCUCCAUACCUGCCCCUCACUCCUGGAGUGUCUCCCAACAAAAGAAAAUUAAAAAAAUAUUAAUAACAAAACAAAGCAAACAAACAAAAAACAUCUUGCUUCUUAAUCCUUCCUGCCUCUCCAACAGCUCUUCAUUCAUCUUAGUGGCAUUGGGAGCUGUGGUGUGUUGUGUGGUAUACCCUUUUGUCUACUUAACUUUACUUGCAAAUGUUGAUUGUGUAAUAAGUUGUUGGUCAGGUUCAAGGCCUCUGACUUCUGGUAUAUCAUCAAUGCUGGACUCUUACUGAGACUUGUCUCAGAUACCCUGAAGUAUGGAGAUCCUACAGUUAUGGUUCCACAGGGCCAGUUCCUUCAUGUACUGCAGCAGGUCAUAGAUGGGGUAGAUAUUGGGGUGGGCCAACUCCAAACCCUGAAUGUGGGUCUGAGUGGUAGCUGAUUUGGUCAAUCUGGCUGCUGAGACCAACCUUAAGAGAUAGCUCUUCUAUGUCCAGGCUAUGGGGGCCAGCUCUCCCACACCAGUGAUGAGGGGUGGGGCCAUCUCUCCCAAGUGUGGGGCCAGCUCUUCUGCUGCAGUGGCCAGCAAAAGGCAUGACCUGCUCUCUCAGGGCCAGUAAAGGAUGGUGCUGGCUCAGCAUUGCCCUCGGAUUUCAACAGACAUAGUUCUUAUGGUCCUCUCUGGUAACAUGGGCCAUGGAGAUCAACUCAGAUCCCAGCUGCAGUGAGACCAUUGACCCAGAAAUGACACUUGGCAGCAGCUCAGGCCUCAUCAUCACCAUGGCCCCUGUGGCAGCACAGCCCUCAGAAACCAACCAAUAUGGUCUCAGGUGGCUGACCAGACCCCAGGUAUCCAAAUGACCCUCUUUGGUAACUGGAGUCACAGACAGCAGUGCAGUCCCUAGCUGCAGUAGGGCCCUGUAGCAAGCUUUCUUGUUGGACUAUCUUUGAACCACCAACUCGAAAAUAAUGACCCAGAGACUUACUAUUAGUUAUGAAAGUGUGACCUUAGCUUAGGCUUUUCCCCAACUAGCUCUUACAACUUAAUCAACUCACAUUUUUCUAAUCUCUGUUCUGUCAUGUGGCUCAGUUACCUCUUCUUAGUACUGCGUAUCUGACUUGCUCCUAGUCUCCAAGCGAUAUCCACCGUUCUUCAUCCCAGAGUUCUCUCUCUGCCUAGAAGUCCCGCCUAUACCUCCUGCCUAGUUAUUGGACAUUUAGCUCUUUAUUAAGCCAAUCAGAAGGCACCUUAGGCAGAGACACAUCUUUACAGUGUAAACAAAUAUUCCAUAACAAGGACCAUGGACCCAGACAUCACCCUUGGCUGCAGCUCACGACCUGACAUCAUCAUGGCCCUGGGUGGCAGAGUAGGUCUGUAUGGUCCUGGCUGCAGCCUGACCCUCAGACACCAAGCUGGCCUCAGGUGGCAACCCAGACCCCGGGCAUCUGCACAGCCUUCAGUGGAAACUGAAGUCAUUGAGAUCAUCACAGACCCUGGCUUCAGUAAGGCCACGGACUCAGACAUGGCCCUUGCCUGUCACUAUGGCCCCAGGUGGCAGCACAGGCCACUUAGCCUGGCCCCACUGGCAGCAUGGCUCUCAGACACCAACAGGGACAGUAAUAGUAAAAUGAUAUAAAUCACACAAGAGGUCUGUAGUGCAAGUUUCUUAAGGAUUGAUUUUUGUAAUACUUUCUUCUUUCUGUACUGGGUUUGUAGAACUAGAACUUCCUGAAGUCACCUAAUGAACAAUUUGUCCUAGGUUUUGUUGUUAAAAUUGUUUUAAGCCUACUUUAUAUCAACCUUGAAGACUGGAUAGGACCCAAUAUAAAGGCAAAAUAAUAGUCCAUGUAUCAAAAGAUAUCACCUUUGGCCAGAGGAUAAUUUUGUUAAAGAAAAACUUCUAAUCAUGAUUGUGUUUACAAUCAUGAUGUAAUUAGAUAAUAAGAAAACUGGUAUCUAGUUUUAUGGCUGAACAUUUAAAUGGUGCUAGAGUUGAUGAGAUUCCUAAGGAUGAACCUGCUCUGUUAGGGUAAAAGAAAAGUUGCAGGGAGAAACUAGUAAAGUUUUGCCCUCUUGGGUGCAUCACCUUCAAAGCAGUUCACCUAAAGUCAUGAUUAAAGUUGCAGAACUUUAAUCAGCAAACCAAGGAAUAUAGAUGUUCUGACCCUAAAAUGGGAACCACAUAAGUAUUUCAGCCGGCUUUACGUUAUGUAACCCAUAAAUCUAGAUAGAGCUAGUGAAUAACAGGGCAGGUCGUGCUUGCCUAGUGGGAAGCAGAUGCUUCAUAAUCUCACAGUGACACAAGAUCCACUGCGCUACUUCUCCCCUGACUUCUUUUCAUGUGAGCCUCCAGUAUUGAUGCUUUUAUUAUAGAAACAUAGUAUGUUUACGAUUACAAUAUCAGAUGUAGAGAAACUAAUAGAAGACCUGCUUCAGUUAAAAAUCUGGAGUUUCUUAGAUGUUUACAUCUAAGUAGGCUUCGAAGCAGUGAAGGAAAGUCAAGUGUAUGUCUUUGAUGCGAUCCAUUCCCUCUUAGCGCUCUUAGAAAAACAGCUCAGAAAUUCUGUGCAAAUUAAUUACUACUGUGGCAUUCUGUGCAAAUUAAUUACUACUGUGGCUAGGUUUUGAGGGUUCAUUUUCAUGCUCUCAAUUUGCAGACUGAAAUAUCAUUUCAUUUUUAAAACAUUAGCAUUUAAUGUGUCUUAUGUUUUAUACCUGUGUGUUGACAAAUGUGGUUUGAAUUUCUUUAGUGCAGAUCAGUUUACAAGUUUACAAUUUAGUGUCUGUGUUAAUGUGGCAUCUUUUUUUUUUUUUUUUUUUGGUUUUUUGAGACAGGGUUUCUCUGUGUAGCCUGUCUUGGAACUCACUCUGUAGCUCAAGCUGGCCUCGAAAUCACAGAGAUCUGCCUGCCUCUGCCUCCCAGUGCUGGGAUUAAAGGCGUGUGCCACCACCACCCAGUUUAAUGUGGCAUCUUAAGUUACAAACAUUUACAAAAGCUGUUUGAAGUAGAAAAGGAUAAACUACUGUGAAUCUAUUAAAUUUUACCCCUAAACUAUGUUAUAGGAAAUUUUUUUCAUGCUUUAUUAAUAGCAUAAUAUAACAAUAAAUUUAGAAAUCAAUAUCUUGACUCUUUUAAAAAUUUAAAAAUAUUGUGUGAUACAAAUAAUUAUGAUUGACAUUAGUAUAUUCUUUACAGGGAAUAUAUUAUUCCCAUAACUAAAAAGACUUAUCUAAAUUCUUUGCUUUCGUAAGAAUGAUUUUACAUUAGUGGCUAAAUAAGUGGAGCAUCCACAUGAGUCACAUGCAAAAAUCCUUCUGUGCACACAGAACUUUUAGCAGCAUGGAAUAUAGUCUGUUCUAUGAAUCAAAAACCAUUAAUCCAGUAUAAGAGGUGACAUUUGAUCAUUGUUCUUGAUUGAAAUUAUUUAUCUGUUUGCAGUAUUUUGCUGUCCCAACAAUUACUGAAGUUCUGAGGCAUCAUUGAUGAUUUAUAUGGAGUGUGAUGGGGAUAUAAGCACUUGAGUGAUUAUUAUCUUGCAGAUUUACAGUUUGACUACUUAUGGCAUCCGAUUUGGGUGUGUGAUUAUGGAAUUACUCACUUACCACUUUAACAGCUAUUAAGGUCUCUGAAAAGGAAUUUAAGUGUUCUAUCUUGGGGGCAUACUGCAGAUGACAAAUACUCGCUCCCGAGAAACUAGGACAUACCAUUUUCAGGAUGAAACACUGAAAAAAAAAAUCAAUGCUGCUUGUAGGCCUUCCUUCAAAUGGCCCAAUUAACUGCACUCAUGUCCAUUUACUCCAUUUGUGAUUCACGAAAACAGAAUUUUAAAUAUGAUUUAUAUUUUUAAGAGUGAAAAUACAUGAUGGAAAAAUCCUUAGUUACUGACUCAAGGUCACACAACAUUUCUGAGUUAGAAACAGAAACUCAGUUUCCUAACAGCCAUGCCUCCCAAACUGCUGGAUGAUAUCUCUAGAAAUUGCAUCUGUGAAAUUACAAUCAAGACAGAUAUAUUUAAGCCCUUGCAAAGCUUUGCUUGCACCGUAAUUCCGUAUCUCAGGCUGAUUAUUAUAUAGUCAUUCACAGCAGGUUUUUGGACUGUCCAUGCUGGCGCAGCAUUUGGCACCCUAAUAGAACAAACAAGAUGCACACUUGAAUAAGUUCGUAUUUCUGCAUUGAGCCAUCUGGGUAACCCGUAUGAUCUCUUUUCUGGAAGAUGGGCUUAUUUCUUACCUGGCAACGUUAGGAACGGUUAACUUUCUCCAGUUUUACAUGUUUAAUGACAGUCAAUGAGUGUAUCUAUCAUCCCACACUCAAGAUAUUAGAGUCACGGAAAAGGACAAAGGAUGGGAGAAGCAUUUAGAGCUCCAGUAAAUGUUUACUGGAGUUAAUGAAAAUGGUUCACAUUUCAACUGCUUACAAGCUGUGUGAUUUUGUAUAAUUUUCUACUUUAUCUCUGCCCCAUCUGUUUGCUGAUGACAUGAAGAAGAAAAUGGUUCAUAACUUACUUCUAAAUCUUUUGGAUUACCAGCAUCUAUCCCUGUGUCCCGUUCCCAGCACAGAAUAAAAGAAAGAACAGAGGGAAGGAGAAGAAAAAGGAGGCUGCAAGGAAAUUCUGGAAGGUACCUGAGAGGUGAUAGCUUCUCUUCCUUUGUUUCCUUCCACAUUUCUAAAAAACAGCUUCAUCUGUACUUUGUUGGCCUCAGAUUCCUUCUAAGAGUAAUCAACCAUCUUCUGAUUGGUGAAGUCUCACUCCACGAGAUAAAACCUAUACCUGACACCAUUCUUGGCCCAAUAAUCAAUGUCCAGUCAGGUUAUAGGCCCUGGAGGAGAACCUACUACUAUUCUCUGUUAAAUGGACAUAGUACUGAACUGACUCCCAGUGACUUAUCGUUUUACCCAUACAUCAAUGCAUCUUUCAGCGCUCAUCAAAGAAGCUUCUGUUUGCAGCAGAUGAUGAUCAAUAAAGGGACCCACCAUUAGCUAAGGUGCAGAGAAUAAGAGGUUUCAUAAUGCUGAGCACUAGCUAGAACAUAUAGAAGGCACCCCAACUUCCCAAGGCUCAGUGGUCAUUGUUGAUCACUGUGGAGGGGACAGAAACAGCGUAAGAGCCAGCGGUGAUGGAUGACUAGAAGGAAACACUGUCUUCUGGACAUAUGAAUUUACAGCAGUUGUGACUGCAUUCACAAGACCCGGGAAAACUAAGCUGAUCCAAUCUCAGCACCGAGAUGGGAGAUACACAUGAAAUCCCAAUCCUAACCUUGGAGCUAUUGGCUGUUUUUAGCUGCUGGAAGGAGAGUUCUCUCUUAGAAUGUAACACUGGGUAAGUCAACCACACAUCAGUAGAAGACCAUCUAUCAAAAGAACAUUGGGGCAGCACAAAUUGUUUUUGACAGGUUAAAAAAAAACAAGGACACAAAUUUGGGUGUGUAGAGAAGGGCAGAGGGGCUGUAAGAGUUGGGAGAGGGAUGAUGAUUAAAAUGUGUAAAAAUCCUAACUAAUAAUUUUUAAAUAGACAAAUUAAAUAUUUAAAAAGAAUCCAACAAUAUAUGCAGUCCCCAAAUUGGGUUGAAGUGUAUAAUUCCUUGGUCACAAUAUAAUUUGAGAUUUAACAUAACACACUUUUGGUUUCUAAAAUGAGAUGGAAAUAUAAAAUUUGCAUUCUCUCAAGUCACAGCAUGAGACUGCUUAAAUUGCAGUUGGAUGUUUAUAGCCACUUUCUCCUAAUUUUCUUUGUGGUACUCUCACUGGUUUGCUACAUAUUAGAAUUCACAACUCUUGGCUUAUAUUGUAUUAAUGCAUCUUCUCAAGCUGAGCAUCCAUUGCAAAAACAAGACUAACAGAGACAUAAGUGGCUAUGACAUCCCUGUUUCAUCUUUUUUUUCUGUACAGCAAAGGGAAAUUAACCUGUUAUUACAACACAAGAGCUCCUUCACGACUUUUUGUCUGUUACUCCAACUUUAUCUCUUGCUGCCUUUUUUAAAAUUAAUAAUCUGUAGUAUACUAAAAGUUGACUUUCAGCACAAAACCCUGAUGCUGUAUUGGGUAGGGACUUUCCAUUCCUAUUCUUCUAUCUUAUCUUGCGAUGCUGCCAGUCUUGUCCUGAGCUCAAAAGACCCUCCAUCAAGUCAGGCUCAGAGGAAUGGUAAAGCCUUUCCCUGGACUGAGUGUGGAGGUUGACAAGUGUAUUCCUUAUUCAGGGUGAAAGCAGCCUGAGACUGCUCAGCUACAGACACUCCUUAAUGAGAUUAGGUCUUAUAUAUAAGCACACUGAUUUUCCUGGCUAACUAGGUGAGUCUCCAUCAGAGUCAAUAGCCCGCCCAAUUCCAGCUUUUCUGUAUGUCUAUUGGUUAUUUCUUCACUCCCCAUUGCCCCAGUCAGGUAAAUCCUAAAGCUGUGCAGGUCUCCACAGAGUGGAUCCUUUGACAGGCUCUUCCCUUAUGCCCCAUGACUUUGAACAGGAAACUGUAAGCUCUUGAGGUCAGUUUUUGAGAAUAGCAACGUUAGCAGCCACACACGGUGGUUGCUACUGCUGCUACUGUCUGCAGCCAAGGUUUUAAAAGAAGACAAGGAUGUGGCUGCUAUGUUUAAAGUACAGAGCAGUAAGUCUCCAACUUGAGAGUCUACAGCUAUAACUCUGCCUUCUACAGUCCGGUGUGAUAGAUUCCCAGCUCUCCAGAUCUGGAAUGGUAAACCUCUGGUCUGUAAAUCUAGCUUCUAGCCAGAACUUGGGGAGCUUCUCCUUGCCUACCCAGGAAUGCUUUCUGGGUAGACGCAAAGGCCCCCAGAUUGGUAACAAGGAGUUGUUCAUUAUCACUCAUCAUUAUGAAAAUACAAAUUAAUGCUCACACUUCCUAGAAUGAUGAAAAUCCAAACUGUACCCUAUCAAUAACGGUUGCCAAAGGUGUGAAGAAAUUAGAAUCAUCUGUUAAGGACCGUAAAAAAGUCUGUAUUUUACUUGUUGAUGGCAAUUUCACAUUUUUACUCUUACGGAUGUUGAUAGAAGACAUGUGAUUUAAUGUGACACAAAGGGUAUUCCUUCUAAUGUUGGCAGUGGUCAGAGUAUUAACAUUUUCCUUUUUGCACCACUUCUCUGACCUCUGAUUCCCAGGGGUGAUGGCUGCACCAAGGGUCCACUGGUGCUGUGCAUGAAGCAGAUCUUCCAGGCUGGAGAGUCCUAGAAUUUUGUAUUCUGGUGCAGUGGCAUUGAACCCAGGUCCUUCUUCCUCAUGCCAGGCAUGAUCUCUACCACUUAGCUACAUUUCCAUCCUGAAUCUGAAUCCUAAUGGACUCUAAGUAAAUAUGCCUGCCCUUACCUCAGAGAUAGAGAGACAGAGAGAGACAGAGAGAGAUGUCACUAUGCUAUACAGUAAAAAAACUUGCUUUUUUCCAAAGCUGUUUAUUGCACAUAAACAACAACAAAAGUCUGAAACAAAAGAGCAGUUGAUUCUAUUGCUUGCAAAAAGUGUCGGAACUAUAAAGACACAUUAGAAUUGACUCCUAGCACCCACCCACACCACCAAUGAGAAUGGAAAAUGUUAUAGCUGCUUUGGAAAAUUUUGACAGCUUCUGAGAAAGUUUAGGUCAUACUUUUGAUACAAUUACGUGAAUUUACUUCUAAUUUAUGAAGUAAUGAAAUAAAUAUCCACCCAUAGAUUUGCAUGUGCAUUCUUAUAGAAUUGAUGUUAAUAACAUCCCCCAAUUGCCAAAAAAAGUUCAAAUGUUUUUUUUAAUAGAGACUAAACAAACUGUGGAAUACUGCUUAGCCACAAGAAAUAAGAAACCACAGUUAUAUGCAACAGAAUUGAUAGUGCUGGAAUAUGUUGCGCUAAGUGGAGGAAUCAUGAAGCAAGAGAGGGUCCAUGGUCUAGGAAAAUGAAAACUACAGAUAGUAAGAAGAUCAGUAGCUAUUUCAGACUGGCUUGGUGAAGGAGAACCCCGCACAGUGGGGUGCUCCCUCCUGUACCUCAGAUUAGUCAUAAACCACACCCCAAAAACCUGUUUUCACAGUUAUCCUUUAUUAAGAAGGGAAGAAAAAGUCAAGUGGUUGUUUUCAGGCAGAAAAACAGCAGCAAAUGACCUUGCAGGUGUAAGUUUUAAGAAGAGAAAAUGGGGAGGUCUGGCUAGCUUUGGGAAUGUAUUCUAAUGGUUUUAAGCAAGGCAAAGGGAAUGGGGGAGAAAGGCAAAGCCUGCCAGAGCCAUGCUUUCUGUGGUUGAGCUGGCCAGAGUCCUUUCACUUAGGGGCUGGGAUGGAUUGCAAAUGGUUAUGGUAGUGAAUGAAUUAUUCUGAACCUUGACAGGGCUCUCUAAAAGGAUCAGAACUGAUAGAAUGUACGUAUAUUUGUACAUAAAGGGAUUUAUUAGGAUGGCUACAGAAUAUGAUCUGGGUAGUUCAACAAUGGUUGUCUCACACUAGAGAGGACAAAAAUCCAGUACUUGUUCAGUCCACAAGGCUAGCUGUCUCAGCCUUCCUAACCUGGUGUUGAAGUCCUAGGGGUAUCCUGGAGAGCCACUGGUUUUCAGUAUACUUCAGAAUCUGGAAGACAUCGGUUCUGAUAUUGGUGAUGUAACUCAAUAACAUCAUUUUAAAAUAGUGUGAAAUGGGGGGGGGGAUUCAGCCAUGAGCACACAGAGUCAGCAUGAAACCCUCUUUUUCCUCCCUGUAUUAUUAUGGUCUUCCUCCUCAGGUUACCUGGCUGAGGCACCAAGUAGAUUCCAGGCACUUUGCCCAGCACAGGUUUAAGGCAUGUUAAUGGUUCUCAGUUCUCACGGUGCUUCGGAAUCACCUGGAGAGCUGUCUCAAAACAGUAGCAUAGAAGAACCUACCUCUAGUUUCAAGAGAGAACAGUACAUACAGCCAAAGCAAGGUGUUUUCUUUGUUCCCUAGUUGAGUCUAGUGUGGAGCCAAAGCUGAAGGAAAAGGAAAAAGAAAAAGAAAAAGAAACAAACAAAACCUAGCAAGACAGCACUGUUUUUUUUCUGGAAUAAAUUUUGAAGCUAUUUUGGGAAUCUAUCAGUAUUGCCCACACCAGUGAUCACAACCAAUCAUAAGGAUUCACAUCAAGAGCCGUGGAAGGAGAGAGAGAGUGCUUAUUCUGGUCCAUUUGUAAGCCUACAGCUCUAAGCAGGUGCUAGGCUGGAAGGCAGAAUCCAAAAGCCACUAGGGAGUUCUCUCACAAAGGGGUGUGCGCAGGAGUUCUGUUGUCAUGCUUCCCUACCUAGAGUUUAGGGAUUCAUGUUGCUGGGUGAUUAAUUUUAUUUCCCUUGGAGGUAAGAAGAGGAAUUAAGAAACAGUCCAAACAAAUGUACCAUACAUCUUCAAAGAUGUUGUAUUGGCUGGUUUUGUAUGUCAACUUGAUAUAAGCUAGUCAUCAGAGAGAAAGGAGCCUCCAUUGAGGAAAGGCCUCCAUGAGAUCCAGCUGUAAGGCAUUUUCCUAAUUAGUGAACAAUGGGGGAAGGCCCAGCCCAUGGUAUGUGGUGCCAUCCUUGGGCUGGUGGUUCUGGGUUCUCUAAGAAAGUGGGCUGAGCAAGUCAUGGAAAGCAAGUCAGUAAGCAGCAUACCUCCAUGGCCUCUGCAUCAGCUCCUGCCUCUAGGUUUAGGUUCCUGCCCUGUUUGAGUUCCUGUCCUGACUUCCUUUGGUGAUGAACAGCAAUGUGAAAAUGUGAGCCAGAUAAACCCUUUCCUCCCCAACUUGCUUUUUGGUCAUGGUGUUUUGUUGCAACAAUAGAAAUCCUAACUAAGAUAGAUGUAAUAUAUGAGUAUUUCCUAUCGACUCAGCAUGCUUCAUUUCCUUUAUUAAGCUAUUAUGAUAUUCACAUAUUAGUACUUUGUAACUGGAAAAAAUUAAAAUGUGGCAAAGAAUGAAAGAUUUAUAAAUAAUAUAGUUGAAAACUACUUCUACACUACCCAUUCAUACCUCCUUGUUAGUUGAUAUAGAGGUCCUAGUCAUUUCCUGCCACUUUUCUUACACACACACACACACACACACACACACACACACACACACCAGAAAUCAUAGAUGAAUGGCACAUUACUUAUACCUUCCUUAGCGAUUUAUAUGAAUCAUCUGAAUGAUUCAUCAUGAUCAAAAUAUACUUCUUUAUAAUCUAUGUGCAUGUAUCUAAUUAGAGCUUUCUUCUAAAUAAUUGCCUAAAAGGAUGACUCUAUCAAAAUUCAAUUACAUAUUUUUUCUUUGAUAUUUGAAUUUCUCUAAUUUUUGUUAACUCCAAACAUACCACAUCAUAUGUUGCUAGAUGCAUAUUCUUGGGUAUUGACACUUUGAAAUUUUUGUUGGAUAAAUUCUAAGUAGAAUGACUUCACCAAAAGUUGUGUGUGUGUGUAUUUGAUUUAUAGUUAUUGCCAAAAUAUAACUCUUGCAGCAGCUUGCACGUUGUUGUUAUGGUUUCAAUUUUUGGUCAGCACAGGCUUGAGCUAACUGGCCUAUCAGUCAGUAAUUUAUAGCCUUUACUACACAUUACAUUUUAUUUUCAUUUUUUCUUGACUACUAAUGAAGCUGAGAAAACUUUUACAUGCCUACUGACACUUCAGAAUUUUCUUUCUGCCUCUUCUCUUCCCCUGCCAUAUUCCUGAUUUCUCUUGAGGAAGGCCAGCCUGAAUAGUUCAGGCUAGCUUUGGACUUGUGAUGCUUCUACCUCAGCCUCCUGAGUGCUGGUGUUACUACUGAUGGACAUAACCAUGCUAAGCUUAGAAAUCUUUUAAGAUUUUCUUUAAAAUAAAUCUUUAUUUUUUUCCAUUGAGUUAUUGUGGUGGUAUUGUGUUCCCCAAAAUAUUGUGUACCCUAAUAAACUUAUCUGGGGUCAGAGACAGAACAGCCACUAGAUACAGAGGCUAGAAAAUGGUGGCACUCACACCUUUAAUCCUAGCAUUCCAGAGGCAGAAAUCCCUCUGGAUCUCUGUGAGUUCAAGGCCACAUUGGAAACAGCCAGGCAUGUGACACAAACCUUUAAUCCCAGAAAGUGAGCCUUUAAUCCCAAGGAGUGAUGGUAGAAAGGAAGAUAUAUAAGGCGUAAAGACCAGAAACUAGAAGCAUUUGGCUGGUUAAGCUUUCAGGCUUUCGAGCCGCAGUUCAGCUGAGAUUCUGGAUGAAGACUCAGAGGCAUCCGGUCUGAGGAAACAGGAUCAGCUGAGGAACUGGCAAGGUGAGGUAACUGUGGCUUGUUCUGCUUCUCUGAUCUUCCAACCUUCACCCCAAUAACUGGCCUCAGGUUUGAUUUCAUUAAUAAGAACUUUUAAGAUUCCUGCUACAAGUUAUUUUUAUUUUCUCACCAAUUUAUAGAUGCUCAAUGCAUACUAGAGAUUUUGUGCCUUUAUGAAUUAUACCUCUUGCAGUUUUUGACUCCGAUCAUUGCCUCUGCCUUUACUGAGUGUUCCUCUUUAGAAAAAGAACAUAUUUGUCAUUAAAUGUGACUGUCAUCUCUUCUGUGACUUUCUCAGUUUCUCAUGUUUGACAGUCCCUAUUUAAAGAUACACAAUUCUUCAAAGAGUUACUAGUCUUUAUAUUGAUUUAGAUUUUUAUAUUUAAAGUUUUAAACUUACAUCUAAAAUUUAGUUUUGAAUAGGGUGUGUAGGUGAGGUCUCUGGUUUUGUCUACAAAUAUGCACAAUUAUCUCAUGAUAAAUUAUUAACAAAUGCUCAACUCUUUUGUUCAGUUCUUAUUAUUUGUAAUUACUAAAGGAUGCUCUGUUCUUUGGGAUCUUUUAUUCUUCCCCUCUGCCUUCUUAAACACUUCAAAUUCAUUUGAUUUUAUAUGGAUACCCUUUCAGUUUCCAGAUCUCAUGACUCUAAGCUGUGCUUUAAAACUGAAAAAUAUAUGAGUGGCUAAUUUUACUUGGAUUUUAAUUAUAGCUUAAGUAAUUGUGUGAUGUUUAAAGUGUUUGCAAGUGUUUCUAAUUUUUCCAUGCUAAACUACUCUACAAAUACAUACUUUGUAAAGUUGAACUACUCUCAUAAAGCCAGCAGAGGGCGGACAAGUAACUGUUUUGAUAGUGAGGAAUUGAAAAUAAUUUUUAAAUGUAUCAUCUAACUGAUUUAUGGAAUAAGUUUAAAGAAUUCAAAAUAUUUACUCAUUUGGGUAUUUUUGUUUAUCAAAGUUACUCCUACACAACCAAAACUUACCUAAAUAUUUUAUGGCUGCCAUAUAUUACCGAAUUUAGGGAUGGAUCAAGAUCUUUUGAAAGGGAAGAAUUUGGGGCAUAAACAGUUUAUGCAUCCAACACAAGUAACAUGAAAUCAAAAUAACAUGGAGUAUAUUAGAUGUGACUCCAACUUAUUUUUUUAAAAGAUCAAAGCUAGGGAAAAUUGCAAAUGAUUGUAGAAUAAUAAACACAUAUUAUUUUCACCAUACAUUUCAUAAGAUGAACCGUGCUCUAAUAUGAGACUAGACAUAUAAACAGUCUUUUGUGAAUAACAGCUAUGGAUAAUUUUAAAGUAUUUGUCCAUUUACAUACACUGUAGGAAACUGGAAAACACCAUGAUCACGACAAGCUAAAAUGGGGUUAACUUAAUGAGAAUUUACAAAUAGGCUGCUGGGUAUUUUGAAAACAGUUGUUAUUCUCAGGUUGUUUUUGUGUGUGGCCUGCUGCUUAUUGCUAUUUAUAAAUAUUAGAAUGAUGGAAACCGCUAUGAAGUCGGAGAUGCUCCACUGAACCUCUCAGGGACAGUCAUUCAAUCAAGCAAAGGUUACAGAAGCCCCGGAGGGCAUUUAUUUGUUAUGUGACAACACGGAUAGACCUGGUAUUGUUGUAUCAGUGUUCUUUAAGUCAGGAAGCCUAGUGUUAAAUUAAUGUCCUAUCGGGCCAACUCCAUUGAAUUUACUGUGUCUGUUUCAUUUUUUGUCUUAGAUUUAGUUCUCUUUUUUUUUUUUGUCAAGAUGUAGUAUCUGCUGUAUAAUUGUGUAUACAUAUUUUAAUAUGUAGUAUUGUGAUGUGUGAAUAUACUUUACAAAUGAUGAUAUAAAUAAAAUUAAUUAGGGGACAAUAAUGUA